GUGAGGAAUAUUGCGCAAUGGGCGAAAGCCUGACGCAGCGACGCCGCGUGGAGGAUGAAGGCCUUCGGGUCGUAAACUCCUGUCGAGGGGGAAGAAAUGGUCUUCCGCUAAUAUCGGAGGGUCUUGACUGUACCCCUGGAGGAAGCCCCGGCUAACUCCGUGCCAGCAGCCGCGGUAAUACGGAGGGGGCCAGCGUUGCUCGGAAUUACUGGGCGUAAAGGGCUUGUAGGCGGUCUGAUAAGUCCUGUGUGAAAUCCCCUGGCUUAACCAGGGAACUGCGCCGGAUACUGUCGGACUAGAGGCCGGGAGAGGGAAGCGGAAUUCCCAGUGUAGCGGUGAAAUGCGUAGAUAUUGGGAGGAACACCGGUGGCGUAGGCGGCUUCCUGGACCGGUUCUGACGCUGAGGAGCGAAAGCUAGGGUAGCAAACAGGAUUAGAAACCCGAGUAGUCC
RNAcentral lists this ribosomal RNA (451 nucleotides) under uncultured bacterium. Its description in RNAcentral is "bacterial SSU rRNA". It matches the Rfam family "Bacterial small subunit ribosomal RNA", at positions 354 to 796 of the family's 1533-position model. The record is from RNAcentral.